CACGUAGGGGGCAAGCGUUGUCCGGAUUUAUUGGGCGUAAAGAGCUCGUAGGUGGUUCGGUAAGUCAGGUGUGAAACCUCCAGGCUCAACCUGGAGACGCCACUUGAUACUGCUGUGACUGGAGUCCGGUAGGGGAGCGUGGAAUUCCUGGUGUAGCGGUGAAAUGCGCAGAUAUCAGGAGGAACACCGAUGGCGAAGGCAGGUCUCUGGGCCGAUACUGACGCUGAGGAGCGAAAGCGUGGGGAGCGAACAGG
This 254-nucleotide ribosomal RNA is filed under the name uncultured bacterium. Its description in RNAcentral is "partial 16S ribosomal RNA". It matches the Rfam family "Bacterial small subunit ribosomal RNA", at positions 524 to 776 of the family's 1533-position model. The record is from RNAcentral.